AUUGAACGCUGGCGGCAUGCCUUACACAUGCAAGUCGAACGCGAAAGGGGGCAACCCUGAGUAGAGUGGCGAACGGGUGAGUAAUACAUCGGAACGUAUCCUGUAGUGGGGGAUAACCCCGAGAAAUCGGGGCUAAUACCGCGUACGUCCUACGGGAGAAAGCGGGGGAUCGUAAGACCUCGCGCUAUAGGAGCGGCCGAUGUCGGAUUAGCUAGUUGGCGGGGUAAGAGCCCACCAAGGCUACGAUCCGUAGCUGGUCUGAGAGGAUGAUCAGCCACACUGGGACUGAGACACGGCCCAGACUCCUACGGGUGGCUG
This 318-nucleotide ribosomal RNA is filed under the name uncultured Pseudomonadota bacterium. Its description in RNAcentral is "bacterial SSU rRNA". It matches the Rfam family "Bacterial small subunit ribosomal RNA", at positions 30 to 351 of the family's 1533-position model. The record is from RNAcentral. Lineage: Bacteria; Pseudomonadati; Pseudomonadota.